GGAAGCGUGUCCGAGUGGUUUAAGGAACCGGUCUUGAAAACCGGCGAGCGGGCAACCGUUCCGUGGGUUCGAAUCCCACCGCUUCCGCCA
Molecule: transfer RNA, 90 nt
Filed under: Sphingomonas sp. Leaf25
Lineage: Bacteria; Pseudomonadati; Pseudomonadota; Alphaproteobacteria; Sphingomonadales; Sphingomonadaceae
Also listed under: 2 other names
Description: tRNA-Ser
Rfam family: tRNA
About the family: Transfer RNA (tRNA) molecules are approximately 80 nucleotides in length. Their secondary structure includes four short double-helical elements and three loops (D, anti-codon, and T loops). Further hydrogen bonds mediate the characteristic L-shaped molecular structure. tRNAs have two regions of fundamental functional importance: the anti-codon, which is responsible for specific mRNA codon recognition, and the 3' end, to which the tRNAs corresponding amino acid is attached (by aminoacyl-tRNA synthetases). tRNAs cope with the degeneracy of the genetic code in two manners: having more than one tRNA (with a specific anti-codon) for a particular amino acid; and 'wobble' base-pairing, i.e. permitting non-standard base-pairing at the 3rd anti-codon position.
Source: RNAcentral